Molecule: ribosomal RNA, 406 nt
Filed under: uncultured bacterium
Lineage: Bacteria
Description: bacterial SSU rRNA
Rfam family: Bacterial small subunit ribosomal RNA
Source: RNAcentral
GAUGAACGCUAGCUACAGGCUUAACACAUGCAAGUCGAGGGGCAGCAUGAACUUAGCUUGCUAAGUUUGAUGGCGACCGGCGCACGGGUGAGUAACACGUAUCCAACCUUCCGUUUACUCAGGGAUAGCCUUUCGAAAGAAAGAUUAAUACCUGAUAGUAUGGUGAGAUUGCAUGAUAGCACCAUUAAAGAUUUAUUGGUAAACGAUGGGGAUGCGUUCCAUUAGGUAGUAGGCGGGGUAACGCCCACCUAGCCGACGAUGGAUAGGGGUUCUGAGAGGAAGGUCCCCACAUUGGAACUGAGACACGGUCCAAACUCCUACGGGAGGCAGCAGUGAGGAAUAUUGGUCAAUGGGCGAGAGCCUGAACCAGCCAAGUUAGCGUGAAGGAUGACUGCCCUAUGGGUUG